UACGGAGGGUGCAAGCGUUAAUCGGAAUCACUGGGCGUAAAGCGCGCGUAGGCGGUAAGAUAAGUUGGAUGUGAAAUCCCAUGGCUCAACCAUGGAACUGCAUUCAAAACUGUUUUACUAGAGUACUGGAGAGGAUGGUGGAAUUUCAGGUGUAGGGGUGGAAUCCGUAGAUAUCUGAAGGAACACUUAUGGCGAAGGCAGCCAUCUGGACAGUAACUGACGCUGAGGUGCGAAAGCGUGGGUAGCAAACAGG
Molecule: ribosomal RNA, 253 nt
Filed under: uncultured bacterium
Lineage: Bacteria
Description: partial 16S ribosomal RNA
Rfam family: Bacterial small subunit ribosomal RNA
Source: RNAcentral